This 254-nucleotide ribosomal RNA is filed under the name uncultured bacterium. RNAcentral's name for it is "partial 16S ribosomal RNA". It matches the Rfam family "Bacterial small subunit ribosomal RNA", at positions 524 to 776 of the family's 1533-position model. The record is from RNAcentral.
UACAGAGGGUGCGAGCGUUUGUUCGGAAUUAUUGGGCGUAAAGCGCUGGUAGGUGGCUUGUUAAGUCGCGUGUGAAAGCCCUCGGCUCAACUGAGGAAGUGCACCCGAAACUGGCGAGCUUGAGUACGAAAGAGGAUCGCGGAAUUCCCGGUGUAGAGGUGAAAUUCGUAGAUAUCGGGAGGAACACCAGUGGCGAAGGCGGCUCACUGGACUGGUAUUGACGCUGAGGUGCGAAAGCGUGGGGAGCAAACAGG